Molecule: ribosomal RNA, 468 nt
Filed under: uncultured bacterium
Lineage: Bacteria
Description: partial 16S ribosomal RNA
Rfam family: Bacterial small subunit ribosomal RNA
Source: RNAcentral
GAUGAACGCUGGCGGCGUGCCUAACACAUGCAAGUCGAGCGAUUCUCUUCGGAGAAGAGCGGCGGACGGGUGAGUAACGCGUGGGUAACCUGCCCUGUACACACGGAUAACAUACCGAAAGGUAUGCUAAUACGGGAUAACAUGAGAGAGUCGCAUGGCUUUUUUAUCAAAGCUCCGGCGGUACAGGAUGGACCCGCGUCUGAUUAGCUAGUUGGUGAGGUAAUGGCUCACCAAGGCGACGAUCAGUAGCCGACCUGAGAGGGUGAUCGGCCACAUUGGAACUGAGACACGGUCCAAACUCCUACGGGAGGCAGCAGUGGGGAAUAUUGCACAAUGGGCGAAAGCCUGAUGCAGCAACGCCGCGUGAGCGAUGAAGGCCUUCGGGUCGUAAAGCUCUGUCCUCAAGGAAGAUAAUGACGGUACUUGAGGAGGAAGCCCCGGCUAACUACGUGCCAGCCGCCGCAGUAA